Molecule: transfer RNA, 82 nt
Filed under: Azospirillum sp. B510
Lineage: Bacteria; Pseudomonadati; Pseudomonadota; Alphaproteobacteria; Rhodospirillales; Azospirillaceae
Description: tRNA-Gly (GCC) (tRNA-Gly-GCC-2-1)
Source: RNAcentral
GUAUUUAAGCCAUUGGAAAAUAACAAUGUAUUGCCAAUUCGUAAUCAGUAGGUCCGGGGUUCAAAUCCCUGUUGCGGCACCA